RNAcentral lists this ribosomal RNA (397 nucleotides) under uncultured bacterium. Its description in RNAcentral is "partial 16S ribosomal RNA". It matches the Rfam family "Bacterial small subunit ribosomal RNA", at positions 360 to 774 of the family's 1533-position model. The record is from RNAcentral.
AAUAUUUGACAAUGGGGGCAUCUCUGAUCGAGCCAUUCCGCGUGCGUGUAGAUGGCCCUAGGGUUUUAAAGCUCUUUCACCCGCUAAUUUGAUGACGGUAGCGGGUGAAUAAGCCUCGGCUAACACCUUGCCAUCAGCCGCGGUAAUAUGGAGGGGGUUAGCGUUGUUCGGAUUUACUGGGCGUGAAGGGCGCGUAGGCGGAUGUUAGCGUCAGAGGUGAAAGCCCCGGGAUCAACCGGGGAACUGCCUUUGAAACGGGACAUCUUGAGUUCGGAAGAGGGUAGCGGAAUACCCAGUGUAGAGGUGAAAUUCGUAGAUAUUGGGAAGAACACCGGUGGCGAAGGCGGCUACCUGGCCCGAUACUGACGCUGAGGCGCGAAAGCGUGGGGAGCAAACA